This 57-nucleotide transfer RNA is filed under the name Muntiacus reevesi (Reeves' muntjac). It matches the Rfam family "tRNA", at positions 8 to 63 of the family's 71-position model. Rfam says of the family: Transfer RNA (tRNA) molecules are approximately 80 nucleotides in length. Their secondary structure includes four short double-helical elements and three loops (D, anti-codon, and T loops). Further hydrogen bonds mediate the characteristic L-shaped molecular structure. tRNAs have two regions of fundamental functional importance: the anti-codon, which is responsible for specific mRNA codon recognition, and the 3' end, to which the tRNAs corresponding amino acid is attached (by aminoacyl-tRNA synthetases). tRNAs cope with the degeneracy of the genetic code in two manners: having more than one tRNA (with a specific anti-codon) for a particular amino acid; and 'wobble' base-pairing, i.e. permitting non-standard base-pairing at the 3rd anti-codon position. Lineage: Eukaryota; Metazoa; Chordata; Mammalia; Artiodactyla; Cervidae. RNAcentral also lists the same sequence under 7 other names. The record is from Rfam by way of RNAcentral.
UGGCUCAGAUGGUAAAGCGUCUGCCUGCAAUGCAGGAGACCCAGGUUCAAUCCCUGG